UAGGCAGAAGCCAGUGGGCUAAGGCGUUUAGCUGUUAACUAAAACUUUACGGGAUCGAAGCCCGUCUGUCUAG
This 73-nucleotide transfer RNA is filed under the name Aythya marila (greater scaup). RNAcentral describes it as "tRNA-Asn". It matches the Rfam family "tRNA". Rfam says of the family: Transfer RNA (tRNA) molecules are approximately 80 nucleotides in length. Lineage: Eukaryota; Metazoa; Chordata; Aves; Anseriformes; Anatidae. RNAcentral also lists the same sequence under 5 other names. The record is from RNAcentral.